RNAcentral lists this ribosomal RNA (2406 nucleotides) under Escherichia coli. Its description in RNAcentral is "partial 23S ribosomal RNA". It matches the Rfam family "Bacterial large subunit ribosomal RNA", at positions 1 to 2432 of the family's 2925-position model. Lineage: Bacteria; Pseudomonadati; Pseudomonadota; Gammaproteobacteria; Enterobacterales; Enterobacteriaceae. The record is from RNAcentral.
GGUUAAGCGACUAAGCGUACACGGUGGAUGCCCUGGCAGUCAGAGGCGAUGAAGGACGUGCUAAUCUGCGAUAAGCGUCGGUGAGGUGAUAUGAACCGUUAUAACCGGCGAUUUCCGAAUGGGGAAACCCAGUGUGUUUCGACACACUAUCAUUAACUGAAUCCAUAGGUUAAUGAGGCGAACCGGGGGAACUGAAACAUCUAAGUACCCCGAGGAAAAGAAAUCAACCGAGAUUCCCCCAGUAGCGGCGAGCGAACGGGGAGGAGCCCAGAGCCUGAAUCAGUGUGUGUGUUAGUGGAAGCGUCUGGAAAGGCGCGCGAUACAGGGUGACAGCCCCGUACACAAAAAUGCACAUAUUGUGAGCUCGAUGAGUAGGGCGGGACACGUGGUAUCCUGUCUGAAUAUGGGGGGACCAUCCUCCAAGGCUAAAUACUCCUGACUGACCGAUAGUGAACCAGUACCGUGAGGGAAAGGCGAAAAGAACCCCGGCGAGGGGAGUGAAAAAGAACCUGAAACCGUGUACGUACAAGCAGUGGGAGCCUCUUAAUGGGGUGACUGCGUACCUUUUGUAUAAUGGGUCAGCGACUUAUAUUCUGUAGCAAGGUUAACCGAAUAGGGGAGCCGAAGGGAAACCGAGUCUUAACUGGGCGUUAAGUUGCAGGGUAUAGACCCGAAACCCGGUGAUCUAGCCAUGGGCAGGUUGAAGGUUGGGUAACACUAACUGGAGGACCGAACCGACUAAUGUUGAAAAAUUAGCGGAUGACUUGUGGCUGGGGGUGAAAGGCCAAUCAAACCGGGAGAUAGCUGGUUCUCCCCGAAAGCUAUUUAGGUAGCGCCUCGUGAAUUCAUCUCCGGGGGUAGAGCACUGUUUCGGCAAGGGGGUCAUCCCGACUUACCAACCCGAUGCAAACUGCGAAUACCGGAGAAUGUUAUCACGGGAGACACACGGCGGGUGCUAACGUCCGUCGUGAAGAGGGAAACAACCCAGACCGCCAGCUAAGGUCCCAAAGUCAUGGUUAAGUGGGAAACGAUGUGGGAAGGCCCAGACAGCCAGGAUGUUGGCUUAGAAGCAGCCAUCAUUUAAAGAAAGCGUAAUAGCUCACUGGUCGAGUCGGCCUGCGCGGAAGAUGUAACGGGGCUAAACCAUGCACCGAAGCUGCGGCAGCGACACUAUGUGUUGUUGGGUAGGGGAGCGUUCUGUAAGCCUGUGAAGGUGUACUGUGAGGUAUGCUGGAGGUAUCAGAAGUGCGAAUGCUGACAUAAGUAACGAUAAAGCGGGUGAAAAGCCCGCUCGCCGGAAGACCAAGGGUUCCUGUCCAACGUUAAUCGGGGCAGGGUGAGUCGACCCCUAAGGCGAGGCCGAAAGGCGUAGUCGAUGGGAAACAGGUUAAUAUUCCUGUACUUGGUGUUACUGCGAAGGGGGGACGGAGAAGGCUAUGUUGGCCGGGCGACGGUUGUCCCGGUUUAAGCGUGUAGGCUGGUUUUCCAGGCAAAUCCGGAAAAUCAAGGCUGAGGCGUGAUGACGAGGCACUACGGUGCUGAAGCGACAAAUGCCCUGCUUCCAGGAAAAGCCUCUAAGCAUCAGGUAACAUCAAAUCGUACCCCAAACCGACACAGGUGGUCAGGUAGAGAAUACCAAGGCGCUUGAGAGAACUCGGGUGAAGGAACUAGGCAAAAUGGUGCCGUAACUUCGGGAGAAGGCACGCUGAUAUGUAGGUGAAGCGACUUGCUCGUGGAGCUGAAAUCAGUCGAAGAUACCAGCUGGCUGCAACUGUUUAUUAAAAACACAGCACUGUGCAAACACGAAAGUGGACGUAUACGGUGUGACGCCUGCCCGGUGCCGGAAGGUUAAUUGAUGGGGUUAGCGGUAACGCGAAGCUCUUGAUCGAAGCCCCGGUAAACGGCGGCCGUAACUAUAACGGUCCUAAGGUAGCGAAAUUCCUUGUCGGGUAAGUUCCGACCUGCACGAAUGGCGUAAUGAUGGCCAGGCUGUCUCCACCCGAGACUCAGUGAAAUUGAACUCGCUGUGAAGAUGCAGUGUACCCGCGGCAAGACGGAAAGACCCCGUGAACCUUUACUAUAGCUUGACACUGAACAUUGAGCCUUGAUGUGUAGGAUAGGUGGGAGGCUUUGAAGUGUGGACGCCAGUCUGCAUGGAGCCGACCUUGAAAUACCACCCUUUAAUGUUUGAUGUUCUAACGUGGGCCCCUUACCGGGGUUGCGGACAGUGUCUGGUGGGUAGUUUGACUGGGGCGGUCUCCUCCUAAAGAGUAACGGAGGAGCACGAAGGUUGGCUAAUCCUGGUCGGACAUCAGGAGGUUAGUGCAAUGGCAUAAGCCAGCUUGACUGCGAGCGUGACGGCGCGAGCAGGUGCGAAAGCAGGUCAUAGUGAUCCGGUGGUUCUGA